Molecule: ribosomal RNA, 477 nt
Filed under: uncultured bacterium
Lineage: Bacteria
Description: bacterial SSU rRNA
Rfam family: Bacterial small subunit ribosomal RNA
Source: RNAcentral
CGGACGACGCUGGCGGCGUGCUUAACACAUGCAAGUCGAGCGGAGUAGGACUAGGUACUUCGGUACCGGGUUUACUUAGCGGCGGACGGGUGAGUAACGCGUGGGCAACCUACCUUACACAGGGGGAUAACACCGGGAAACUGGUGCUAAUACCGCAUAACGCAUAUCUGUGGCAUCAUGGAUAUGCCAAAGGAGAAAUCCGGUGUAAGAUGGGCCCGCGUCCGAUUAGCUAGUUGGUGGGGUAACGGCCCACCAAGGCGACGAUCGGUAGCCGAACUGAGAGGUUGGUCGGCCACAUUGGGACUGAGACACGGCCCAGACUCCUACGGGAGGCAGCAGUGGGGAAUAUUGCGCAAUGGGGGAAACCCUGACGCAGCGACGCCGCGUGAAGGAAGAAGGCCUUCGGGUUGUAAACUUCUUUGAUUGGGGACGAAGAAAGUGACGGUACCCAAGGAACAAGCCACGGCUAACUACGUG